Molecule: ribosomal RNA, 250 nt
Filed under: uncultured bacterium
Lineage: Bacteria
Description: partial 16S ribosomal RNA
Rfam family: Bacterial small subunit ribosomal RNA
Source: RNAcentral
UACAGAGACUGCAAGCGUUAUUCGGAUUCACUGGGCGUAAAGGGUGCGCAGGCGGCCAGAUGUGUCAGGUGUGAAAGCCCGGGGCUUAACCCCGGAAUUGCGCCUGAAACUGUCUGGCUAGAGUACUGGAGAGGGUAGCGGAAUUCACGGUGUAGCAGUGAAAUGCGUAGAUAUCGUGAGGAACACCAGAGGCGAAGGCGGCUACCUGGACAGUAACUGACGCUCAGGCACGAAAGCGUGGGGAGCAAAA